UACGUAGGGUGCAAGCAUUAUCCGGAGUGACUGGGCGUAAAGAGUUGCGUAGGUGGUCAGUAAAGUGAAUAGUGAAAUGUGGCGGCUCAACCGUACACACUAUUAUUCAAACUCACUGACUCGAGAAUGGUAGAGGUAACUGGAAUUUCUAGUGUAGGAGUGAAAUCCGUAGAUAUUAGAAGGAACACCAAUGGCGUAGGCAGGUUACUGGACCAUUUCUGACACUAAGGCACGAAAGCGUGGGGAGCGAACCGG
RNAcentral lists this ribosomal RNA (255 nucleotides) under uncultured bacterium. RNAcentral's name for it is "partial 16S ribosomal RNA". It matches the Rfam family "Bacterial small subunit ribosomal RNA", at positions 524 to 776 of the family's 1533-position model. The record is from RNAcentral.